CCUACGGGGGGCAGCAGUGGGGAAUAUUGGACAAUGGGCGAAAGUCUGAUCCAGCCAUGCCGCGUGUGUGAAGAAGGCCUUCGGGUUGUAAAGCACUUUCAGUGGGGAAGAAAGCCUUGGGGCUAAUACCCUCGAGGAAGGACAUCACCCACAGAAGAAGCACCGGCUAACUCCGUGCCAGCAGCCGCGGUAAUACGGAGGGUGCGAGCGUUAAUCGGAAUUACUGGGCGUAAAGCGCGCGUAGGCGGUCUGAUAAGCCGGUUGUGAAAGCCCCGGGCUCAACCUGGGAACGGCAUCCGGAACUGUCAGGCUAGAGUGCAGGAGAGGAAGGUAGAAUUCCCGGUGUAGCGGUGAAAUGCGUAGAGAUCGGGAGGAAUACCAGUGGCGAAGGCGGCCUUCUGGACUGACACUGACGCUGAGGUGCGAAAGCGUGGGUAGCAAACAGGAUUAGAUACCCUUGUAGUC
RNAcentral lists this ribosomal RNA (465 nucleotides) under Vreelandella stevensii. Its description in RNAcentral is "partial 16S ribosomal RNA". It matches the Rfam family "Bacterial small subunit ribosomal RNA", at positions 338 to 795 of the family's 1533-position model. Lineage: Bacteria; Pseudomonadati; Pseudomonadota; Gammaproteobacteria; Oceanospirillales; Halomonadaceae. The record is from RNAcentral.